GCUUAACGCGAAGAACCUUACCUGGGCUAGAAAGCGCAAGAACCUCGGUGAAAACUGAGGGUGCCCUUCGGGGAACUUGUGAUUAGGUGCUGCAUGGCUGUCGUCAGCUCGUGUCGUGAGAUGUUGGGUUAAGUCCCGCAACGAGCGCAACCCUUGCUGUUAGUUGCCAUCAUUAAGUUGGGCACUCUAAAGAGACUGCCGCGAAUAACGCGGAGGAAGGUGGGGACGACGUCAAGUCAUCAUGGCCCUUACGUCCUGGGCUACACACGUGCUACAAUGGGCGUCACAGAGGGUCGCAGGAGCGCAAGCUGGAGCCAAUCCCCAAAAACGUCCUCAGUUCAGAUCGAGGUCUGCAACCCGACCUCGUGAAGGUGGAAUCGCUAGUAAUCGCGGAUCAGAACGCCGCGGUGAAUACGUUCCCGGGUCUUGUACACACCG
Molecule: ribosomal RNA, 438 nt
Filed under: uncultured bacterium
Lineage: Bacteria
Description: bacterial SSU rRNA
Rfam family: Bacterial small subunit ribosomal RNA
Source: RNAcentral